This 239-nucleotide ribosomal RNA is filed under the name uncultured bacterium. RNAcentral's name for it is "partial 16S ribosomal RNA". It matches the Rfam family "Bacterial small subunit ribosomal RNA", at positions 1253 to 1500 of the family's 1533-position model. The record is from RNAcentral.
CCGGGUGACCGGAUGCCGAUCUCGAAAACCUGUCCCAGUUCGGACUGGAGUCUGCAACCCGACUCCACGAAGUUGGAUUCGCUAGUAAUCGCGCAUCAGCCAUGGCGCGGUGAAUACGUUCCCGGGCCUUGUACACACCGCCCGUCAAGCCAUGGGAGCCGGGGGCGCCUGAAGUCCGGGACCGCGAGGACCGGCCUAAGGCGAAACUGGUGACUGGGGCUAAGUCGUAACAAGGUAUC